Molecule: ribosomal RNA, 305 nt
Filed under: uncultured bacterium
Lineage: Bacteria
Description: bacterial SSU rRNA
Rfam family: Bacterial small subunit ribosomal RNA
Source: RNAcentral
UCACCUACGGGAGGCAGCAGUGAGGAAUAUUGGUCAAUGGGCGGGAGCCUGAACCAGCCAAGUCGCGUGAGGGAUGACGGCCCUAUGGGUUGUAAACCUCUUUUGCCGGGGAGCAAAGUGCCGCACGUGUGCGGUUUGGAGAGUACCCGGAGAAAAAGCAUCGGCUAACUACGUGCCAGCAGCCGCGGUAAUACGUAGGUGGCAAGCGUUGUCCGGAAUUACUGGGUGUAAAGGGAGCGCAGGCGGGAAGCCAAGUCAGCUGUGAAAACUACGGGCUUAACUUGUAGACUGCAGUUGAAACUGGG